This 387-nucleotide RNase P RNA is filed under the name Oscillatoriaceae cyanobacterium M7585_C2015_266. RNAcentral describes it as "Bacterial RNase P class A". It matches the Rfam family "Bacterial RNase P class A". From Rfam's summary of the family: Ribonuclease P (RNase P) is a ubiquitous endoribonuclease, found in archaea, bacteria and eukarya as well as chloroplasts and mitochondria. Its best characterised activity is the generation of mature 5'-ends of tRNAs by cleaving the 5'-leader elements of precursor-tRNAs. Cellular RNase Ps are ribonucleoproteins. RNAcentral also lists the same sequence under 3 other names. Lineage: Bacteria; Bacillati; Cyanobacteriota; Cyanophyceae; Oscillatoriales; Oscillatoriaceae. The record is from Rfam by way of RNAcentral.
AGAGUAGGCGCAGGUGGUUGCGGAGUGCAAACUCUGAGGAAAGUCCGGGCUCCCGAAAGACCAAACUUGCUGGGUAACGCCCAGUGCGAGCGAUCGCGAGGAUAGUGCCACAGAAACAUACCGCCUACUUCAGUGUUGAGUACAUUCUCUCACUGAAUUGGUAAGGGUGCAAAGGUGCGGUAAGAGCGCACCAGCAGCGUCGAGAGGCGCUGGCUCGGUAAACCCCGGUUGGGAGCAAGGUCGAAGGAACUACGGUUGGUCUUUUACCAGUUCCGCUUAUACAGAACCGCUAGAGGCGUCUGGUAACAGACGUCCCAGAUAGAUAACCACCCUCUAAGCUGUACAUCAGUUAGGAGAACAGAACCCGGCUUAUGUCCGACUCUCUCC